AAAAAAAACAUUUUUUAACCUAGGGUUGACUUUUGGUCAAAUAGUUGACCAAAGUCAAGCUGAUUCUAACCGUACUUUUUUCCUCAUCCUCAAGGUCUUUCAUUUUGUGCCUCCAAGUCUUCAAGGUUUCCAAAAACUCUUCAUGAUCCAUGAUUCCAUGCUAUGUUGAAAUGCCAUGUCAGUCUUGUUGAUGCCAUUCCAAACCAAG
This 208-nucleotide long non-coding RNA is filed under the name Lathyrus oleraceus (garden pea). RNAcentral's name for it is "Pisum sativum (pea) long non-coding RNA (PSAT_LNC015344)". Lineage: Eukaryota; Viridiplantae; Streptophyta; Magnoliopsida; Fabales; Fabaceae. The record is from RNAcentral.